Molecule: long non-coding RNA, 773 nt
Filed under: Brassica napus (rape)
Lineage: Eukaryota; Viridiplantae; Streptophyta; Magnoliopsida; Brassicales; Brassicaceae
Description: long non-coding RNA (BNAP_LNC003820)
Source: RNAcentral
CGUGUCGUGGAAGGAAUCAGUUAAUCUUAUUAUUAGUCCGUUGACAACGAUACCUUAUUUAGGAAUACAAAGUUAGAGUUUAGAACCUUUUACAACAUGGGCUUAUGGGCCUAUAAUGGACAUCCACAUUAAUAUCCAUAACAUAUUUACCAUAAUAAUUCGAUGUCAUUUAUUUUACGUAUUAACUGUAAUAAUUUCACGUGUUUAAACGAAAUUAUUUCAUUAGCGACAAUAAUUCAAACCGGUUACCAAAUUAUUUUUAUUUAUUUAUAUAAUCAGCUAGACAUUGACAUUCAAAUAUACAUUAGGAUACAAAUCGAUUUUUAUGGGAAUUGGGUUUUUGGAUUUUAAAAUUAAACCAUGUUCAGGUAUUAUAAAAUUUUGGAUAGGAUUCGAUUAAGAUUCUUUCGGAUCCGGUAAGUUUGUAUGAACCUAAAAAUAUCUAAUAACCUAUAUGUUUACAAAUGUUACUAAACAAUUUAUAAAGAGUUAAAAACCAAACCCACAUGAGCGUGCAAGGCAAGUUCUAGUUAUCAUUAUGUAUAAAGUACAAUUAAUUACACCAGGUUUCAAAGUUUAAAUGGUCUAAAGUAUAAUUUAUGAAAUAUAAUUCAUGUGGCUAGGUGGCGUCCGUCUCUGAUUCAUGUCCCAUGAAGAGCAACCAGACUUGCCUGUUACCGGUGGUAAGUCCCCGGAGGAUUAGUCAGUUGGGUUCGGAUCCGCCGGACACCCAUGGUUAAUAAAAAAGGUAGAAUUUAUGAGAUCAACACCAU